Molecule: long non-coding RNA, 735 nt
Organism: Lucilia cuprina (Australian sheep blowfly)
Lineage: Eukaryota; Metazoa; Arthropoda; Insecta; Diptera; Calliphoridae
Exons: 3
Source: RefSeq, a predicted model, not a curated record
UAUAAAAAAUAUACUUCGACAAUUGAGGCCAAAAAAGAAACAAGUUAGUUUUUAAAGAAAAACAUAAAAAAGUGAAAAAAAUAUUUUGAAAUUAAAAAAAAUCUAAAAAAAAAAAAAUACUAAAACUUGUCUCCUGCUUGCAAAAUUAAAAGGAUACUUAAAAAUUAUUCGUUAAACCGGUCCUAUGGCAGUUCUAAAACAAUUAAUAAUCAGACGUUGAUGACAAUGCUGGCAAUGAUAAUGAUGGUGAAGGCAACUAACUGAUGCUUAAACAAUGAUAAAAAUAACAACAUUUUAUAAACAAUAGAAACAACAAGAAAUUAUAUAAAUCAGCAACAACAACCAGCUAAAUUGUUUAAACAACAGUUUGCGUGAAAAAAACAACGAAAUCCAAAACAAGAACCUGAUCCUAAUGAAAUUUUAAAUUUAUAACGAAAAAUCUUAAACACUGCUGAAGGCAGUCAACAGGAAACUAAAGGGGUUUGAGUAAAAAUUGUUUUAACAAGUGAAGGGAAUAAAACCCUUAUCAAAAAUCAAACACACAUACAAAUAUUUUUACACAUGUGUCAUAGAGCGUAAAAAUCAUAAAAACAACAAAAAAUUGUAUUAAUCAUUUUUUUUUUGUUUAUAAAAAAGAAUUACUGUGUGUGUGAAUUUGUGUAAAACUAGACCAAUUUAUAUCGGUAUAAAUUUUUUUGUUGUCAUCGCCGGAGUUUUUAUACAUUCAGUGAAAAA